Molecule: transfer RNA, 103 nt
Organism: Penicillium steckii
Lineage: Eukaryota; Fungi; Ascomycota; Eurotiomycetes; Eurotiales; Aspergillaceae
Rfam family: tRNA
About the family: Transfer RNA (tRNA) molecules are approximately 80 nucleotides in length. Their secondary structure includes four short double-helical elements and three loops (D, anti-codon, and T loops).
Source: Rfam
GGCAAGAUGGCCGAGUUGGUCCAAGGCGUCAGGUUAAGGUCUACCUUAACAUCAAAUUCCUGAUCUCCGCAAGGGGGCGUGGGUUCGAAUCCCACUCUUGUCA